GCGGCUGUGGUGUAGUGGUAACACGCCAGCUUCCCAAGCUUGAAAUACGAGUUCGAUUCUCGUCAGCCGCU
This 71-nucleotide transfer RNA is filed under the name Fuerstiella sp. RNAcentral's name for it is "tRNA-Gly". It matches the Rfam family "tRNA". Rfam says of the family: Transfer RNA (tRNA) molecules are approximately 80 nucleotides in length. Their secondary structure includes four short double-helical elements and three loops (D, anti-codon, and T loops). Further hydrogen bonds mediate the characteristic L-shaped molecular structure. tRNAs have two regions of fundamental functional importance: the anti-codon, which is responsible for specific mRNA codon recognition, and the 3' end, to which the tRNAs corresponding amino acid is attached (by aminoacyl-tRNA synthetases). tRNAs cope with the degeneracy of the genetic code in two manners: having more than one tRNA (with a specific anti-codon) for a particular amino acid; and 'wobble' base-pairing, i.e. permitting non-standard base-pairing at the 3rd anti-codon position. Lineage: Bacteria; Pseudomonadati; Planctomycetota; Planctomycetia; Planctomycetales; Planctomycetaceae. The record is from RNAcentral.